AUCCAGCUGAAGAGUCCCAAAUAGGACGAAACGCGCGUCCUGGAU
Non-coding RNA from Schistosoma mansoni, 45 nucleotides. Lineage: Eukaryota; Metazoa; Platyhelminthes; Trematoda; Strigeidida; Schistosomatidae. The record is from Rfam.